UUUUGAAUCAAAAAGAAAACUUUGAUUAAUUCAAAAACCAAAGGUACAAGGCAAUCGCAAGGAUCCAGCCCACAGGAUCAAAAACGACAAAAAAACAACCAAAGAAAAGGACUAUUUACAUCAUGAGUUUAGCUAGGCAUGUCCUUAAUUUUCUAUUGGUCCAGCCCCUAUAGACAAUAGUAUCAAUAAUUUUCUCAUCAGUAUGAUUGUUCUGUACAGCAUUACCAAAACUAAUAUCAUUUCGAUACCUCCAAAUCUCAUAGACACAUUCA
Molecule: long non-coding RNA, 272 nt
Filed under: Trifolium pratense (red clover)
Lineage: Eukaryota; Viridiplantae; Streptophyta; Magnoliopsida; Fabales; Fabaceae
Description: long non-coding RNA (TPRA_LNC010566)
Source: RNAcentral